RNAcentral lists this ribosomal RNA (520 nucleotides) under uncultured Glomus. Its description in RNAcentral is "SSU rRNA". It matches the Rfam family "Eukaryotic small subunit ribosomal RNA", at positions 569 to 1086 of the family's 1831-position model. Lineage: Eukaryota; Fungi; Glomeromycota; Glomeromycetes; Glomerales; Glomeraceae. The record is from RNAcentral.
AGCAGCCGCGGUAAUUCCAGCUCCAAUAGCGUAUAUUAAAGUUGUUGCAGUUAAAAAGCUCGUAGUUGAAUUUCGGGGUUAGUAGGUUGGUCAUGCCUCUGGUAUGUACUGGUCUCACUGAUUCCUCCUUCCUGAUGAGCCGUAAUGCCAUUAAUUUGGUGUUGCGGGGAAUUUGGACUGUUACUUUGAAAAAAUUAGAGUGUUUAAAGCAAGCUAACGCUUGAAUACAUUAGCAUGGAAUAAUGAAAUAGGACGUUUGAUUCUAUUUUGUUGGUUUCUAGGAUCGACGUAAUGAUUAAUAGGGAUAGUUGGGGGCAUUAGUAUUCAAUUGUCAGAGGUGAAAUUCUUGGAUUUAUUGAAGACUAACUACUGCGAAAGCAUUUGCCAAGGAUGUUUUCAUUAAUCAAGAACGAAAGUUAGGGGAUCGAAGACGAUCAGAUACCGUCGUAGUCUUAACCAUAAACUAUGCCGACUAGGGAUCGGAUGAUGUUAAUUUUUAAUGACUCUAGUCGGCCGUACC